AGCCUCUGCGUCGUUUUCCCGUGUGGAGCACACUCUGACUUUCGGGAGGAGAAGAGGGGGCUGUGGCUCAGAGGCACAACGAUUAAAGGCACUGCUGGAAUUCAAGUUCAACUGAAAGGCCUGUCUGAUUCCAAACAUCAAUGUCUUCACAUAACCCCUUUGGACUGCGCACAGGGGCUGCUUUCCUAGUUAACAAGGCUAAAUCACCAGAGAA
Lutra lutra (Eurasian river otter) is the source of this 214-nucleotide long non-coding RNA. RefSeq lists it as uncharacterized. The record is from RefSeq and is a predicted model, not a curated record. Lineage: Eukaryota; Metazoa; Chordata; Mammalia; Carnivora; Mustelidae. The transcript is spliced from 3 exons.